Molecule: ribosomal RNA, 853 nt
Filed under: uncultured archaeon
Lineage: Archaea
Description: bacterial SSU rRNA
Rfam family: Archaeal small subunit ribosomal RNA
Source: RNAcentral
ACUGCUCAGUAACACGUGGCUAACCUACCCUCAGGACGGGGACAAACCCGGGAAACUGGGGCUAAUAUCCGAUAGGCGAGGAAUCCUGGAAUGGUUCUUCACCCAAAGGACAUUGGAAACAUGCUUUCUCUGUCGCCUGGGGAUGGGGCCGCGACCGAUCAGGUUGUUGGUGAGGUAAUGGCUCACCAAGCCUUUAACCGGUACGGGCCAUGAGAGUGGUAGCCCGGAGAUGGGUACUGAGACAAGGACCCAGGCCCUACGGGGCGCAGCAGUCGCGAAAACUCCGCAAUGCACGAAAGUGUGACGGGGCUACCCCGAGUGCCGUCCGCUGAGGAUGGCUUUUCCUUGGUGUAACUAGCCGGGGGAAUAAGGAGAGGGCAAGACUGGUGUCAGCCGCCGCGGUAAUACCAGCUCUCCGAGUGGUAGGGAUGAUUAUUGGGCUUAAAGCGUCCGUAGCCGGCUUAGCAAGUUUCCUGUUAAAUUCAGCGACCUAAUCGUUGAGCCGCGGGAAAUACUACUAGGCUAGGAGGCGGGAGAGGUCGACGGUACUUCUGGGGUAGGGGUGAAAUCCUAUAAUCCCGGGAGGACCACCAGUGGCGAAGGCUGUCGACUAGAACGCGCUCGACGGUGAGGGACGAAAGCUGGGGGAGCGAACCGGAUUAGAUACCCGGGUAGUCCCAGCUGUAAACGAUGCGGGCUAGGUGUUGGGGUGGCUACGUGCCACUUCAGUGCCGCAGGGAAGCCAUUAAGCCCGCCGCCUGGGGAGUACGGCCGCAAGGCUGAAACUUAAAGGAAUUGGCGGGGGAGCACCACAAGGCGUGAAGCUUGCGGUUCAAUUGGAUUCAACGCCGGG